RNAcentral lists this ribosomal RNA (578 nucleotides) under Acetobacteraceae bacterium CP7. RNAcentral's name for it is "bacterial SSU rRNA". It matches the Rfam family "Bacterial small subunit ribosomal RNA", at positions 339 to 934 of the family's 1533-position model. The record is from RNAcentral. Lineage: Bacteria; Pseudomonadati; Pseudomonadota; Alphaproteobacteria; Acetobacterales; Acetobacteraceae.
CUACGGGAGGCAGCAGUGGGGAAUAUUGGACAAUGGGGGCAACCCUGAUCCAGCAAUGCCGCGUGUGUGAAGAAGGUCUUCGGAUUGUAAAGCACUUUCACUAGGGAAGAUGAUGACGGUACCUAGAGAAGAAGCCCCGGCUAACUUCGUGCCAGCAGCCGCGGUAAUACGAAGGGGGCUAGCGUUGCUCGGAAUGACUGGGCGUAAAGGGCGCGUAGGCUGUUUGUACAGUCAGAUGUGAAAUCCCCGGGCUUAACCUGGGAACUGCAUUUGAUACGUGCAGACUAGAGUCCGAGAGAGGGUUGUGGAAUUCCCAGUGUAGAGGUGAAAUUCGUAGAUAUUGGGAAGAACACCGGUUGCGAAGGCGGCAACCUGGCUCGGAACUGACGCUGAGGCGCGAAAGCGUGGGGAGCGAACAGGAUUAGAUACCCUGGUAGUCCACGCUGUAAACGAUGUGUGCUGGAUGUUGGGUGAUUUUAUCAUUCAGUGUCGGAGCUAACGCGUUAAGCACACCGCCUGGGGAGUACGGCCGCNAGGUUGAAACUCAAAGGAAUUGACGGGGGCCGNCACAAACGGUG